CCUGAAUUAUUAAUAAAUAUAUUUUUUAAACUUGAAGAAUUUGGCGGUGGUUUAGUCUUGUUAGAGGAACCUGUUUUUGAAUCGAUAAUCCGCGCAGAAUUUUACUUAUCUUAUAAGUUUGUAUACCGUCAUUAUCAGAUAAUUUUUAUAGAAAUAAUUAUUGAAGUUUAGCAGCAGACAGUAAAGAAAAUUAGAUCAAGGUGCAGCUAAUUAGGUAAGUUAAAAUGGGUUACAAUAAGAUUUAUUUAUAUGGAGUAAUUGUAUGAAAGCUGAUAUUAUGAAGGUGGAUUUAAUUGUAAUAUAAAUUUAAUAUGUUUAUAAGAUAUAAGCUCUAAACCAU
RNAcentral lists this ribosomal RNA (340 nucleotides) under Etisus albus. Its description in RNAcentral is "partial 12S ribosomal RNA". The record is from RNAcentral. Lineage: Eukaryota; Metazoa; Arthropoda; Malacostraca; Decapoda; Xanthidae.